AACGCACAUUGCGCUCUCUGGUAUUCCGGAGAGCAUGCUUGUUUGAGUAUCAGUAAACACCUCAAUUUCACAAUCUUUUUUUUGAAAUUGGACUUGAGCAAAUCCCAACGUAUAUUUUAUUAUAUGGAGGGUUGCUUCAAAUGCAGGUGCAGCCGAUCAUUCUUCUGGGCUAAAAGCAUUAUCUAGUUAAUCCCGUAAAACGGAUUAUUCACUUUAUUUGCUGCGGCUUACCUUUAAAAGGAAGAAAUGGUCAUUGUGCUGACUGAUGCAGGAUUUCUCAGAGCUCCGUAAAACGACCUUUGAAAACUCGAUCUCAAAUCAAGUAAGACUACCCGCUGAACUUAA
Molecule: unclassified non-coding RNA, 345 nt
Filed under: uncultured Mortierella
Lineage: Eukaryota; Fungi; Mortierellomycota; Mortierellomycetes; Mortierellales; Mortierellaceae
Description: sequence contains ITS2
Source: RNAcentral